This 338-nucleotide ribosomal RNA is filed under the name Staphylococcus aureus. RNAcentral's name for it is "partial 23S ribosomal RNA". It matches the Rfam family "Bacterial large subunit ribosomal RNA", at positions 1227 to 1561 of the family's 2925-position model. Lineage: Bacteria; Bacillati; Bacillota; Bacilli; Caryophanales; Staphylococcaceae. The record is from RNAcentral.
GGUAGGAGAGCGUUCUAAGGGCGUUGAAGCAUGAUCGUAAGGACAUGUGGAGCGCUUAGAAGUGAGAAUGCCGGUGUGAGUAGCGAAAGACGGGUGAGAAUCCCGUCCACCGAUUGACUAAGGUUUCCAGAGGAAGGCUCGUCCGCUCUGGGUUAGUCGGGUCCUAAGCUGAGGCCGACAGGCGUAGGCGAUGGAUAACAGGUUGAUAUUCCUGUACCACCUAUAAUCGUUUUAAUCGAUGGGGGGACGCAGUAGGAUAGGCGAAGCGUGCGAUUGGAUUGCACGUCUAAGCAGUAAGGCUGAGUAUUAGGCAAAUCCGGUACUCGUUAAGGCUGAGC